AGUGAACGCUGGCGGUAUGCCUAACACAUGCAAGUCGAACGGCCGCACAGUAAGCUCUUUCUCUUACGGGUGGCGAGUGGCGGACGGGUGAGGCAUACAUCAGCAUCUACUUUUUCGUGGGGGAUAACGUAGGGAAACUUACGCUACUACCUCAUACGACCUACGGGUUGAUGCAGGGGAUCUUCGCACCUUGCGCGAUUGAAUUAGCUGAAGUCGCAUUAGCUAGUUGGCUGGGUAAAGGCCCACCAAGCCGACGAUCCGUAGCUGAUCUGAGAGGAUGAUCGGCCACACUGGAACUGAGACACGGUCCAGACUCCUACGGGAGGCAGCAGUGGGGAAUAUUGGACAAUGGGCGCAAGCCUGAUCCAGCAAUGCCGCGUGAGUGAAGAAGGUCUUCGGGUUGUAAAGCCCUGUUGUUAGGAAAGAAAAGAAGAAGGUGAAUACCCGGAUGUUCUGACGGUACCCAAAGAAUAAGCACCGGCUAACUUCGUG
Molecule: ribosomal RNA, 492 nt
Filed under: uncultured bacterium
Lineage: Bacteria
Description: partial 16S ribosomal RNA
Rfam family: Bacterial small subunit ribosomal RNA
Source: RNAcentral